Molecule: ribosomal RNA, 465 nt
Filed under: uncultured bacterium
Lineage: Bacteria
Description: partial 16S ribosomal RNA
Rfam family: Bacterial small subunit ribosomal RNA
Source: RNAcentral
GACGAACGCUGGCGGCGUGCUUAACACAUGCAAGUCGAACGGUAAGGCCCCUUCGGGGGUACACGAGUGGCGAACGGGUGAGUAACACGUGAGCAACCUGCCCUUGACUCUGGAAUAACAGUUGGAAACAGCUGCUAAUACUGGAUAUUCAUCGUCUCCUUCCUGGGGGGCGGUGGAAAGCUCCGGCGGUCAGGGAUGGGCUCGCGGCCUAUCAGCUUGUUGGUGAGGUAAUGGCUCACCAAGGCUUCGACGGGUAGCCGGCCUGAGAGGGCGACCGGCCACACUGGGACUGAGAUACGGCCCAGACUCCUACGGGAGGCAGCAGUGGGGAAUAUUGCACAAUGGGCGCAAGCCUGAUGCAGCAACGCCGCGUGCGGGAUGACGGCCUUCGGGUUGUAAACCGCUUUCAGUAGGGACGAAGGGUGACUGACGGUACCUACAGAAGAAGGACCGGCUAACUACGUG